RNAcentral lists this ribosomal RNA (433 nucleotides) under uncultured bacterium. RNAcentral's name for it is "partial 16S ribosomal RNA". It matches the Rfam family "Bacterial small subunit ribosomal RNA", at positions 29 to 507 of the family's 1533-position model. The record is from RNAcentral.
AACGAACGCUGGCGGCAUGCCUAACACAUGCAAGUCGAACGAGACCUUCGGGUCUAGUGGCGCACGGGUGCGUAACGCGUGGGAACCUGCCCUUAGGUUCGGAAUAACUCCCCGAAAGGGGUGCUAAUACCGGAUAAUGUCUUCGGACCAAAGAUUUAUCGCCUUUGGAUGGGCCCGCGUUGGAUUAGCUAGUUGGUAGGGUAAAAGCCUACCAAGGCUACGAUCCAUAGCUGGUCUGAGAGGAUGAUCAGCCACACUGGGACUGAGACACGGCCCAGACUCCUACGGGAGGGAGCAGUGGGGAAUAUUGGACAAUGGGCGAAAGCCUGAUCCAGCAAUGCCGCGUGAGUGAUGAAGGCCUUAGGGUUGUAAAGCUCUUUUACCCGGGAUGAUAAUGACAGUACCGGGAGAAUAAGCUCCGGCUAACUCCGUG